RNAcentral lists this long non-coding RNA (589 nucleotides) under Setaria viridis. RNAcentral describes it as "long non-coding RNA (SVIR_LNC006590)". The record is from RNAcentral. Lineage: Eukaryota; Viridiplantae; Streptophyta; Magnoliopsida; Poales; Poaceae.
AGACUUCAUUACACAAACUUCAGCCCUAGCAUGCUCAAUUUCAUCUACACAUGUGGUGUGAGUCAAUUUUAAUUCAUUAAUUUCAGCAAACAAAGACUCACAAGAAACACAUACCAAAGAAGCAUUACACCUUAACAAAGAAAUUUCGUCUCUAGUCUUAUCAAGAUCAUUAUUUAAAGCUACACAAGAAUUGCAAGGCCCUAGACAUUGAGUUUCAACAAGUCAUUUUCAGAUUUCAAGAAAUUAAGAGAAGAGUUCAAUUCAUCAUUUUUUCUAAGCAAGGCAUCACAAGAAUUGCAAGAAUUUAAAGCACAUGACUUCCAAUGAGCAAUUCCACAUUUCAACCUAGCAAUAGAAUAAUUCAUCUUCUCGUUCUUCCUACCCAAAGCAUCACAAAGAUCUAUGUUUCUCUCAUUCUCAUCUUCACAAUCAUCAACACGAUUGCAUAGAACUAUGAUGCAUUUUGCAAGCGUACCUUGGCUCAUGUCUCUUAGCCCGCGGUAGAACUCGCCCUUCGUGAGGUCACCAUCUUGGUAGUUCUCGAGGAGAUCCAUCACCGCCUCCACUUUGAGUUCCAACUCAAUCUUCG